Non-coding RNA from Macaca mulatta (Rhesus monkey), 1585 nucleotides. NCBI's taxonomy places the organism in Eukaryota, Metazoa, Chordata, Mammalia, Primates, Cercopithecidae. The record is from RefSeq and is a predicted model, not a curated record.
CAUGCGAGGUUGCUUUCUGGGGACAGACUGCCAUGCGAGGCUGCUUGCUGUGGAGUUGGGAUCCCCUUCAUGAUGUCACAACGGACCACCCAGGUUACAGAAGAAAACCCACCAGCCCAUCCAGACACAGCAUCCCCAAGAGAGGAUGUCCCUCGACCCCUUUGGGGUGCUGCCUCCAGCUGUGUGUCCCUUCCAGAAUGCAGACCCUGACCCUUUGAAGCUCAAGGGCAGCUGGUGAGAGGGAGGGUCCGCCUGGCCAGGGCCCUCAGGAGCUACAAUCCUGAAAACAAGCUCAAGGUCACCAGUCACCACCAGCCAAUGACGAUGGUCCACAGUGAGGCUGGAGGCACCUCUCACCUCUCCAACUGGACAUUACUUGGGGGUUGGUCUCUCUGUCUUCCCUCUGGACCUGCUUCUCACCACCCAAAGCAGCCCCGCCCCGACAUGACCCAGAAGUGAACAGGGGUCUGGGAAGAAGGUCAGCAGCACUCACUCGUAAACACAGUGUGCAGCAGUGACGAUCCACAUGGGCGUGAUGACAGAGCCCCCGCACAGGUGGUAGCCCUGGAACUGAAGGCUGGCCUGCCAGGGCCACUGCGAGAGCGAGGACAUGUUUCCACCCACGAUGCGUGAGCUGUAGCCCCUUCUAUGACCACAGGCUACGGAAGGGAACAAGGGCUUGUGGCUCCACCCUGCAGACUUCUUUGGGGGACAUGGUGUCACCACCAUGCACCUGCUCCUCUCUCCCCACCCUCACUGCCCCCCACCCUCCCAGAGCUCACAGCAGCUGUAAGACAAGUGCUGCAAGGGGGAGCUCAGCAGGGGAGGCUCUUGGGGAGACCUGAGGAUGGUAGGUGCUGUGGGGGAUGUGGUGGGAAAAGCAUCUGCCCUACUUGGUCAGUGCCCAGCGUUGGCAGUGCCACUCCCCAUCCUGUUCCCCCAGUGAUGACAACACCCUGGGAUGUCAGGAGCAGGCAGGAACCUUCUGCAGCCCCCUCCUCACGGCUGCAGGUGUACACACCUCCCUGACUGCUCCAGACUCCACCCUUGCGGUGUGAACACUCCCCUCUGCCAGGAAUGAGGGGUACUGCCCGAGGCCUGGAGUGAGCACUGUGCACGUGUAAGGAGGAAAUGGGUACUAAGUCAGGGACUCAAGGCUCUACAGAGCGAUGGGACAUCAUGGGCCUUGGUCCUGUCUGCUGCUAAUGAGUUGCUCUGGCUGUCUCCCCCACCUGACAGGUGAGGCCAACAGGUGAGGAUGACACUGCUCCCCUCGUCCGGCAGGUAGGGGUACACAGAGUUCCCACCUGGCACCCAAGGGGAAGGGACACAGAGCCCCAUGGGAGAGAGGACUCAGCGGGCAAGGAGAUAGGACUCAGCGUGUGCUUGCUUCCCCCAGACCCCUGCCUUUCUAGAACUCUUACCUGUGCACUGCAAGGUAACCACGUGGCCAGAGGCACAUCCUUCCCUAAAGCGGAGAAAAAGUAGGCUCCAUGAAAAAUGCCCCAGGUCUGUGAAAGGAACACUCUUAAAAACUUAAUCUUAGGGUAACAGAAAAAUAAAUUCUAUUUCCCCCUCUCUUGAA